UUUUAUUCUGAAUAAGGCUGAAUAUUGCCGUAAAUAAGUCAUGUAAUGUAAAGGAUUUGUCAAAUUAUUUUAGGUUGAUCAUCCUGGUGGAAGGAGCCUGGCUGUGUGUGGAAGAGACUUGGUGUCAGUGGUACCCCCAGUGCUAAGGACCCCAGAUCAAAAUCUGCAUGCAGUAAAUUUGCCUUUCAUUGGUGAUUUGUUCUGGAGUUCCCAGGGGACAAGAAAAGCAGGAGAGUGCAGCAGGCAGGACAUGACCACAGUGCUCGUAGCACUACCAGGAACCUUUAUGUUCCAGCUGACUUUCUCUAACAGAGCAACCGAUGUGCUUUUUCACCAGAACUAACUGAAGCACGAACUCAUUGGGACUGAAGGAAAACUGUCUCAGAGACAAAAGGUAUGCUGCUUCUCUGGUUUGCUGGCUAUAUGCCUGGUCUGAAAUCUGUGAAGUGUAAGUCUGCCUUGGGUUUUUCACUUUUUGCUCACCCUCUGUAGGCAUUACCAAGUUGUUUGUGCUUUCUGCUCUGAUUUUUUUUUUUUUUCCUUUGGGGAAAAAAUAACACAAUGGUUCUGCAUACUCCAGAUGUUGACAGUUCCUGACCUGAGUCCCAUGAAAAGAACACCCA
RNAcentral lists this long non-coding RNA (623 nucleotides) under Anas platyrhynchos platyrhynchos (common mallard). RNAcentral's name for it is "lncRNA (ENSAPLG00000021140.1)". Lineage: Eukaryota; Metazoa; Chordata; Aves; Anseriformes; Anatidae. The record is from RNAcentral.